This 492-nucleotide ribosomal RNA is filed under the name uncultured bacterium. RNAcentral's name for it is "partial 16S ribosomal RNA". It matches the Rfam family "Bacterial small subunit ribosomal RNA", at positions 29 to 507 of the family's 1533-position model. The record is from RNAcentral.
AGCGAACGCUGGCGGUAGGCCUAACACAUGCAAGUCGAACGGCAGCACAGUAAGAGCUUGCUCUUACGGGUGGCGAGUGGCGGACGGGUGAGGAAUACAUCGGAAUCUACUUUUUCGUGGGGGAUAACGUAGGGAAACUUACGCUAAUACCGCAUACGACCUACGGGUGAAAGCAGGGGAUCUUCGGACCUUGCGCGAUUGAAUGAGCCGAUGUCGGAUUAGCUAGUUGGCGGGGUAAAGGCCCACCAAGGCGACGAUCCGUAGCUGGUCUGAGAGGAUGAUCAGCCACACUGGAACUGAGACACGGUCCAGACUCCUACGGGAGGCAGCAGUGGGGAAUAUUGGACAAUGGGCGCAAGCCUGAUCCAGCCAUACCGCGUGGGUGAAGAAGGCCUUCGGGUUGUAAAGCCCUUUUCUUGGGAAAGAAAAGCAGCAGGUUAAUACCCCGCUGUUCUGACGGUACCCAAAGAAUAAGCACCGGCUAACUUCGUG